Jaculus jaculus (lesser Egyptian jerboa) is the source of this 272-nucleotide long non-coding RNA. RefSeq lists it as uncharacterized. The record is from RefSeq and is a predicted model, not a curated record. The transcript is spliced from 3 exons. NCBI's taxonomy places the organism in Eukaryota, Metazoa, Chordata, Mammalia, Rodentia, Dipodidae.
CAGAAUAACGGAGCCCUCUGGGCACCUCUGACCUCCUCUUCUGGGGAUUCUUCCCACCCCUAGCAGUGCGAUCCAGGCUGGACACCCCGAACUUCAAACAUCCGAGCCCGCGCUGCCGCCAGGUGCAAGGCAACUGUGAUCAAACAAUUUGGAGAUGACUAAAUGAUGAUGAAGUCAGAAUUCUCUGGCUCACCUAAGUGACUCUUCAGACUGGAGUGGGAGACAAUGGGCACCCCAGGGCCUCCAGUUGCUGCAAACAUAUUCAAGAUGCA